AUUUUCUAUGUAGUCUGAACACACUCGAUUUUGUCUGAUCUCAGAAGCUAAGCAGGCUCAGGCCUGGUUAGUACUUGGAUGGGAGAAUUUUCUGUGCAGUCUUUGUCCCAGGAAAGU
This 117-nucleotide ribosomal RNA is filed under the name Chinchilla lanigera (long-tailed chinchilla). The record is from RNAcentral. Lineage: Eukaryota; Metazoa; Chordata; Mammalia; Rodentia; Chinchillidae.